UGCUGUACAAUUUAAACCCGCACACUUAGUGCCAAUCUCAUGAUCAUAAAUGUUUAUACCCGCACACUUAGUGCCGAGAUCAACAACUCAAUACAUCUCACCUCUUUUCUUUUUAUUCAACACUUUCAUCACCACAUGCAUACAUGUAUAUAAAUUUAUCAUUCCAUUCGGCAUAAUUACAUAGACAUUAUGUCUAUUUAGAUCAAUACAAAAUAUAUGCUUAAUGACUUACCUUGUGUUGGGUAAGACGGUUCCAACUCGAUUACUCGAUGAUCUUUUCUUUGCCCUUGCUUACCUCUCCACCUUUAGCUUCUUGAGCUAAAUCGAUAAAUUAACUAGUUUAACCAUCUUGCUAAACAUUCAUACUUCAAUUACACAUGCAUAUGUAUGUUUGUAUAUUCAGCAAUGACAAUGGUAAUAUAGCAAACCUUAAUUUAACUUAUAAUUGUUCAUAACACAUUUAAAGCAUCCACUCCAUUCCAUCAUUUUAAAGCACAUACAUUACUCAAUAUUAUCCACGUUCACAUUCGGCAUUUUCACAAAUACACAUGCCGAUUUCAUUCACUCAUCUCUAAUGUUAAUUAAGAAAUGCCGAAUGUCACCAACUAAAUGG
Molecule: long non-coding RNA, 613 nt
Filed under: Gossypium barbadense (sea-island cotton)
Lineage: Eukaryota; Viridiplantae; Streptophyta; Magnoliopsida; Malvales; Malvaceae
Description: long non-coding RNA (GBAR_LNC014881)
Source: RNAcentral